CCUACGGGUGGCAGCAGUGAGGAAUAUUGCACAAUGGAGGCAAGCCUGAUGCAGUGACGCCGCGUGCACGAUGAAGUAUUUCGGUAUUGAAAACUCUAUCCACCUGGGAGAAAAUGACGGUACCUGACUAAGAAACCCCAGCUAACUACGUGCCAGCAGCCGCCGUAAUACGUGGGGGGCGAGCGUUAUCCGGAUUUACUGGGUGUAAAGGGAGCGUAGACGGAGGUUCAAGUCAGCUGUGAAAGUCCGGGGCUCAACCCCGGGACUGCAGUUGGAACUGUGUGGCUGGAGUGUCGGAGAGGCAGGCGGAAUUCAGAGUGUAGCGGUGAAAUGCGUAGAUAUCAGGAGGAACACCAGUGGCGAAGGCGGGUGGCUGGACGAUGACUGACGUUGAGGCUCGAAAGCGCGGGGAGCAAACAGGAUUAGAUACCCUAGUAGUC
This 440-nucleotide ribosomal RNA is filed under the name uncultured bacterium. RNAcentral describes it as "partial 16S ribosomal RNA". It matches the Rfam family "Bacterial small subunit ribosomal RNA", at positions 338 to 795 of the family's 1533-position model. The record is from RNAcentral.